RNAcentral lists this transfer RNA (81 nucleotides) under Zingiber officinale. RNAcentral describes it as "tRNA-Ala". It matches the Rfam family "tRNA". From Rfam's summary of the family: Transfer RNA (tRNA) molecules are approximately 80 nucleotides in length. Their secondary structure includes four short double-helical elements and three loops (D, anti-codon, and T loops). Lineage: Eukaryota; Viridiplantae; Streptophyta; Magnoliopsida; Zingiberales; Zingiberaceae. The record is from RNAcentral.
GGGGAUGAAGUUCAUAUAGUCAUAUGGUAGAGCGCUCGCUUCGCAUGCGAGAGGCACGGGGUUCGAUUCCCCGCAUCUCCA